GUGGUGGAUAGGCCCCGCCUCCCCGCAAUGUGGACGCAGCACGAGCGUGUUGAAGCCUCGCUGCCUGGAAUAAUAGAGAGCAGGAAUACACAGGAUGGUGGCGUGCAAUCUCCAGUUCUCCCCACCCGCUGAGGCAAAUGGGGUGUCAACAGUCUACACGGAUGUGUCAAGUGGAAAACUCAUUUAAUAGAGAUGAUGAGGAGAGCAGGAUGUAGGGUCAAGAGACUUCCUGUGGAAUAAAGUCCCUCAGCUCUCUCUCUCUCUCUCUCUCUAUCCGACUUUCUCUCUUUUCCAUUAAAACUGAGUUGCACAUUCAGACAGUUUUCCUUGUUUCCUUGCGAUCCUACUCGUCUGUUACAUAACACUGCAGGGGAUUUAGAUAUUUAGAUAAACAUUAUGUGAGUACCAUAGCCAGAAUUUUUUUUUAGGAGGGUCCCAUCUUAAAAUGAAGGGCCCCUGAGAAAAAUAAUUUUUAACAAUUCCUUAA
Molecule: long non-coding RNA, 487 nt
Organism: Hypomesus transpacificus
Lineage: Eukaryota; Metazoa; Chordata; Actinopteri; Osmeriformes; Osmeridae
Exons: 2
Source: RefSeq, a predicted model, not a curated record